CCUCCGGGGGGCAGCAGUUAGGAAUCUUGCGCAAUGGGCGAAAGCCUGACGCAGCAACGCCGCGUGGGGGAAGAAGGCCUUCGGGUUGUAAACCCCUUUCAGUGGGGACGAAAAUGACGGUACCCACAGAAGAAGCCCCGGCCAACUACGUGCCAGCAGCCGCGGUGACACGUAGGGGGCAAGCGUUGUCCGGAUUUAUUGGGCGUAAAGGGCUCGUAGGCGGUUCGGCAAGUCGGGUGUGAAACCUCCAGGCUCAACCUGGAGCCGCCACCCGAAACUGCUGUGACUUGAGUCCGGUAGGGGAGCAUGGAAUUCCUGGUGUAGCGGUGGAAUGCGCAGAUAUCAGGAGGAACACCAGUGGCGAAGGCGAUGCUCUGGGCCGGUACUGACGCUGAGGAGCGAAAGCAUGGGGAGCGAACAGGAUUAGAUACCCCAGUAGUC
RNAcentral lists this ribosomal RNA (441 nucleotides) under uncultured bacterium. RNAcentral describes it as "partial 16S ribosomal RNA". It matches the Rfam family "Bacterial small subunit ribosomal RNA", at positions 338 to 795 of the family's 1533-position model. The record is from RNAcentral.